RNAcentral lists this long non-coding RNA (1937 nucleotides) under Lathyrus oleraceus (garden pea). RNAcentral's name for it is "Pisum sativum (pea) long non-coding RNA (PSAT_LNC033560)". The record is from RNAcentral. Lineage: Eukaryota; Viridiplantae; Streptophyta; Magnoliopsida; Fabales; Fabaceae.
UUGAAUUAAACUGAGGCAUAAAUAUUCAUUUUUAUUCAAAUGUCAUUGUAAUUCCCAUUGCAUCAAUAAAGAUUUAUAAGAAAGGCUAGCAUUUUGGCAUUACAAUGGUUUUUGUACAUUUGAAAUGUUUUAUCUAAGCCUAAUAUGAUCUACAAAACUAAACCUAAUGCUACUAAGUGUCCAAGCCUUGGUGCUCAAACCUUAAACUCCACAUUUCUCCAUUUCUUCACCAAAAAUCCAUCUAUUCUUUAUGCCUUCUUCAUCACCAAGCCAUAUUCAAGCCAUGAUAUGUCCAUCACCAUUAAAAACUUAGUUGCACCAAAAAGAUUUUUUUUUGUCAAGAUUAGCCAAUACCAUAACACAACCCAUGUUACCAAAUUUCACCAUGAUGGUAACACACCAAGGCCAUGUCAUAAAUGAAUUUAUGCAAGGCAGUACAAAAAUAACUUAUGCAAAAUACACUACAGAGUAAUUAUGUAGUAACCCAAAAAGAAACAAGGACAAUAUCAAUCCAUUAAAAUUAUCCCCCACUUCACACAACAUUUUAUUGUAGUAAAAUGAUAGGAGUAAGGAAGUGAACAAAAACCUUACAGUAGUAAAAAAAAACAAAACAAACAGAAAUUAAAAAAAACUCAUUCACUCAUUGCACAUGCUUAGGACACGCAUCCUCUCCCACUCACUCUCAAAACCCCACAAUAUCAGGGGUGGAUGCAAAUUUCUACAACUCAUUAACAACUAUGAAUCCCAUUCCUUCUUAUCCAUUUCAUUCACACAUUUGAGUAGGGGAAACUAUCUUCCUCAAUACUCUCACACAAGUACAAAAAUCCAUCUUCAUAAUGCUAUAAAUUAUCACUCAUCUCUCACACAAAGACACAACAAAGAACCUACAGAAGAAACCCUAAAUUUCAUACCCAUAGAGGCAUCAAAAUCGGAAGAAAAAAAAUGAAACCUAACAUUCUUCACACAGUGCUCACUUUUUGUUUGUUUAGACCUCCAUACAAGAUGCUAAAUUCAACCUGAGUUGAGGCCUACACCCACGUAUAAACACAACAAACACACAGAAGCACCAACAAGAAACACACAUUCAAAAAAGAAAGAAGGACUAGAGAAGAGCAAAGAAAAAAAAGAGGAAAAUAAAACUCACCUUAAGGGGGGCUUCUUACCGGUAACACCCAGUUGGUAAUCAUUUUGCUCCGUUCACAAUAUUUCAUGCUUUUGUUUGCUUGAUGCUUUUAUCCUUUUUCCCUUUUCCAAAUUUGUGGUUUUGUACCGAUUAUCAAUUGAGGUCAUUUGGGUUGGUUUUUGAAAUAUGGGUUUGUGUCUCCGUGGUUCAAUUGAGAGGGUUAAAGUUGUUUCUUGGGAUUUUGGAGGUUAGAUUGAGAAUUAGGGUGUUUUUUUACCAAGGAAUUAGGGUGUUUGAAAACCUCCGUGGUGUUCAUCCGCGCCACCAUGUUUGUUCAUGAGCCCCACCGGGGCCUUCAUAGGCACCACUGACUUUAAUCUAACUGGGCUAUCUUUUUUGGGCUUUUUUAUGUGUGUUCAUAAGAAACAAGAAAUAAUUAAGAGAGUGUACAAGGAAGAGAGAGAAAGAAACUUUGAAAAUGAAGUUCCCUUGCCUAUUGACCAGGACCUUUGAUUCAUCUUUAACCCCUCUUUAGUAUAUGCAUCAAAUGCCUAUGAUUACAUCAUCUCAUUAGAUGGUUGUCAUUAAGUCAAAACAUUGACUCUAACCAGGCUCCUUUCCCUAAGCCUUUUGGGCCUUCUGCCCAACGCCAUUUUUGGGCCUUACCCCAAUGUUUUCCAUCUCAAACCCCCUCGUGUUUGGGCUUUUUAGUCCGUUAUAUUUGUUUUUGUUUUUAUUUAUCUUCUUUUGUUUAUUUUGUCUUUUUUUUCUUUUAUAUAAUAUUUGUAAAAUAAUAAUUAUAUUUUAUUAUAUG